This is a small nuclear RNA of Otolemur garnettii (small-eared galago), 164 nucleotides long. Its record names the gene U1. It matches the Rfam family "U1 spliceosomal RNA". From Rfam's summary of the family: U1 is a small nuclear RNA (snRNA) component of the spliceosome (involved in pre-mRNA splicing). Its 5' end forms complementary base pairs with the 5' splice junction, thus defining the 5' donor site of an intron. The record is from Ensembl. NCBI's taxonomy places the organism in Eukaryota, Metazoa, Chordata, Mammalia, Primates, Galagidae.
AUACUUACCUGGCAGGGGAGAUACCCUGAUCACAAAAGUGGUUUUUCCAGGGUGAGGCUUAUCUAUUGUACUCCAGAUGUGCUGACCCCUGCGAUUUCCCCAAAUGUGGUAAACUCGACUGCCUAAUUUGUGGUAGCGGGGGAUGGCGUUCACACUUUCCCCUG